RNAcentral lists this unclassified non-coding RNA (855 nucleotides) under Hevea brasiliensis (rubber tree). Lineage: Eukaryota; Viridiplantae; Streptophyta; Magnoliopsida; Malpighiales; Euphorbiaceae. The record is from RNAcentral.
AAGCUGGAGUUCAUUGAAAGCAUCAAGUCUGCAGAGGUAACGAAAAAUACUUGAACAUGGGCGCUUGGAAUUGGUUGGUGGUUCUGAAUAUUGUUAGGGGAGGUACAUAAUCGAUCAAGCAUAGUUGAAGACAUUUUUUUGGAGGAAUAAUUUUUUCUGUAAUGAGAUUCAUCACCUUAAACUGGUUUUCUAUAUUUGCAAAAAAUUUAUCUAUUUUCCAAACUGGUUGUUACGUUAAGAAACUAGAUUUUGCGCAUGCACUAUGUGCUUUUCUAUAUUUGAAUAAAUUUAACUAUUAUUUCCAUGGACAUGCCACUGAUGUAGUUGUUUCAUUAAGAAACUAGAUUUUUUGCUUGCCUUCUCGUGCAUGUAUGAGAAUGAAGUGGAGCAUCUCUAAGGUCAUCCGGCCCAUCAAGACUGGGAAUAUCACAAUCAAAUUGCUUCUGAAAUGCCAAGCAUUAAGCCCAGAAUUAUUAAUGUUGCUGCCAGGUACGUGAGGUGCAAAAUGAAGGUCCCACAGCAAGGUUCAAACUCUUCUUCUGCUGUUCUUGCCACGAGCACCAUCUGACAUGAUCAUCGAGAAAGCAUGCUCCCAGUUAAAGAGCUGACUUGGUCUUCUCAGUGGCUUACAAGGAAUGACUGCCAAACAUGUCAUUUCGGUGGUAGGAAUGGGAGGGGUGGAAAAAACACCCUUACAAAGAAAGUCUUUGACAGUACCCUUUCAGCAACCAUGCUUGGUAUUGGAUUACUGUUUUCAGUCAUUCAAGGUCGAGGAACUCUUGAAGGCUGCAAUCCGUGAACUUUUCGUUCAAGGGAAGCAACCUCAAGAAAAGGAAAACUCUCUAGUGAUGAUUU